This 420-nucleotide ribosomal RNA is filed under the name uncultured eukaryote. Its description in RNAcentral is "SSU rRNA". It matches the Rfam family "Eukaryotic small subunit ribosomal RNA", at positions 567 to 990 of the family's 1831-position model. The record is from RNAcentral.
CCAGCAGCCGCGGUAAUUCCAGCUCCAAUAGCGUAUAUUAAAGUUGUUGCAGUUAAAAAGUUCGUAGUUGAAUUUCUGUUCGCGGCGGCGGUCCGUCCUAGUGGCGUGCACUUGCUUGACUGCGGAUAACUCCUUGCGGGGAAGGCGUGCGUGCUUUACUGUGCGUGCGUUCGGAUCCGCAUCAAUUACUGUGAGCAAAUCAGAGUGUUCAAAGCGGGCGUUUCGCUUGAAUGCAUUAGCAUGGAAUAAUGAGAUAGGACUUUGGUGCUAUUUCGUUGGUUGCGUGCCAAAGUAAUGAUUAAUAGGGACAGUUGGGGGUAUUCAUAUUUGAUUGUCAGAGGUGAAAUUCUUGGAUUUAUCAAAGAUGAACAACUGCGAAAGCAUUUACCAAGGAUGUUUUCAUCAAUCAAGAACGAAAGU